This 653-nucleotide ribosomal RNA is filed under the name Hygrocybe andersonii. Its description in RNAcentral is "eukaryotic LSU rRNA". The stretch from base 231 to 384 matches the Rfam family "5.8S ribosomal RNA". The record is from RNAcentral. Lineage: Eukaryota; Fungi; Basidiomycota; Agaricomycetes; Agaricales; Hygrophoraceae.
AAGGUUUCCGUAGGUGACCUGCGGAGGAUCAUUACUGAAAAAAGAUUUCGAGGAUGUUGCUGGCGGCGUGCAAGCGUUCGCACGUGCACUCUUUCGAAUGAUUUUUUUUUUGACCCUUCUCACACCAUGUGCACCCUUUGUAGGCUCGGUGGACCUAUGUUUUCAAAAAACAAACACCCCCGAAUGUAUACGAAUGUACCAUUGAUGGAUUGCGAAGUCAAUAAAAGUACAACUUUCAACAAUGGAUCUCUUGGCUCUCGCAUCGAUGAAGAACGCAGCGAAAUGCGAUACGUAAUGUGAAUUGCAGAAUUCCGUGAAUCAUCGAAUCUUUGAACGCACCUUGCGCCCCUUGGUAUUCCGAGGGGCAUGCCUGUUUGAGUGUAAUUGAACCCUACUCAACUUGACCUUGGGUCAAGCUUGGAUUUGGAGAGUGCCGGCAAGCUCGGCUCCUCUGAAAGGCAUUAGCGAGCGACUCUCGCGUCUGCUUCGGCGUUGAUAAUCAAUUUGUCUAUGCCCUGAGCACACGCUUGGCCAGUUGGCUUACAAGCGGUCCCCUUUUCGAGGGACAAAAGGGUGUCUAACCCAACCCAACAAUCACCUCAAAUCAGGUAGGACUACCCGCUGAACUUAAGCAUAUCAAAUAAGCGGAGGAA